ACCUGCAAAGUGCGAGACUUGUAACUUUUUUAAAAAAUGGCGCCAGUCUGAAGGGUAGAUCGAACAGGAAAAGUCGUUAAAUGGCCAAGUUCCGGUUUAGUUUUGUUUGACUGAUGGACUUGAACUUACCGCAAGAGUGUAUCUGGGGCCAGUCUUUGCGGAGCACGAGACCGCUCGUAAUUUGUCACCUCACUUCCCUACCUGAAACUGCCAGGUCGUACUACCGAAUGUUGACGAUCUUGACCGAGGUCUUCACCUCAGGGAAAGCAUCUCAGACUCCGAGACCGCUCAGGAAUCAGAAAGUAAAAAGGAACAGAGACGCCUCUGCCCAGGAAACAGUCACGUCGCCCGCCGCCCUCUGCUUGUCUCACCGCCCAGCAGCUCUACGCGCCCACGGUGACGUGAAGGUACGACCGUGCUUGUAUUCCAAAGUGACCAAGGCUGUUCUGUAAUUUACGACAGCAAGAAAAUUUCACUAAAUAGGAGCCUUUCUGUUGAGCUUUUGAUUCUAUUUUCCACUGAGGUUUUCUGGAAUUCUCAUUAGCACGAUGUGGGUGUCUUUUUGGAGAUUGGCUCGCUUUUAUAAAUCAAAUGUUUUGUUUAUGAACUUAAGACUGAGGGAUAAAUAACCGUUGGUUCCCAGUCAAUUGAGCAAAAUGCACCACUGGCUGCAACAAAAGGGAGAGUUUCUGAACAAAUUUAUACAGGUUUUGUUGCAUUUCAGGCUUUUUGUCAAAAUGUUUGUUUACGAUAAUUACAGUAAAGUAAAGUAAACAAUAUUUCUUCUUUUUGUCAAGACUUAAUGCAAUAAAUUGGCCAGCAAAACUCAAAAUCAAAAAUUAUCGAUUGUGCAGGUUUUCGUGAAAACACCGUCGAUAGGCCUAUCCUUGCAACCAGGUGACGUGUUUUUGGCCUUUUACUUAAAGAAAAAAAAAGUUAGGCCAA
This is a long non-coding RNA of Patiria miniata (bat star), 945 nucleotides long. RefSeq lists it as uncharacterized. NCBI's taxonomy places the organism in Eukaryota, Metazoa, Echinodermata, Asteroidea, Valvatida, Asterinidae. The record is from RefSeq and is a predicted model, not a curated record. The transcript is spliced from 3 exons.